UGUAAAAAUAAAUCAAGUCGAAGCUUUUGACAGGUUAUUUGAUUGGCGUUUUAAGUAACAUACAGAGCAGGGAUGGGCACAGGAAGAAGAUACACCCCUCGCCAAGUGAAGGAAGAUGCUCAAUGCGGUGAUAUUCACCCAAAGAGCAACAAGUGAUCUGCCGUCAGCUCAAGGUCGGAUUUCAGCAACGAAUGCAGAGGUGAUCAGUCUGAUGGAGUCUUAAGAUGCUUUGACAGAAAACCCCACCAAAUUCUUGUUCCUCUGCAUACUCAGCAUGACUCCUCUUGGGUCCUGCUGCACCACAAAAGAUCUGCAGCAAACCGCAGAAAUCAAGAAUAAGAAAAAUGCUGCAAUAGUUGUAUAAAUUAGACUAAUUAAA
Molecule: long non-coding RNA, 379 nt
Organism: Carassius auratus (goldfish)
Lineage: Eukaryota; Metazoa; Chordata; Actinopteri; Cypriniformes; Cyprinidae
Exons: 3
Source: RefSeq, a predicted model, not a curated record